Molecule: ribosomal RNA, 458 nt
Filed under: Salmonella enterica subsp. enterica serovar Enteritidis
Lineage: Bacteria; Pseudomonadati; Pseudomonadota; Gammaproteobacteria; Enterobacterales; Enterobacteriaceae
Description: bacterial LSU rRNA
Rfam family: Bacterial large subunit ribosomal RNA
Source: RNAcentral
UCCUCCAAGGCUAAAUACUCCUGACUGACCGAUAGUGAACCAGUACCGUGAGGGAAAGGCGAAAAGAACCCCGGCGAGGGGAGUGAAAAAGAACCUGAAACCGUGUACGUACAAGCAGUGGGAGCACCCUUUGGGUGUGACUGCGUACCUUUUGUAUAAUGGGUCAGCGACUUAUAUUCUGUAGCAAGGUUAACCGAAUAGGGGAGCCGGAGGGAAACCGAGUCUUAACCGGGCGUUAAGUUGCAGGGUAUAGACCCGAAACCCGGUGAUCUAGCCAUGGGCAGGUUGAAGGUUGGGUAACACUAACUGGAGGACCGAACCGACUAAUGUUGAAAAAUUAGCGGAUGACCUGUGGCUGGGGGUGAAAGGCCAAUCAAACCGGGAGAUAGCUGGUUCUCCCCGAAAGCUAUUUAGGUAGCGCCUCGUGAAUUCAUCUCCGGGGGUAGAGCACUGUUUCG